GGGCUAGUACCCCUCGUAUGUACAUGUUCAUGCUGCUCGAUCGGUCUUUUGUUUCUUGUUUUUAUCGGAAGUUCUUCUCGGUACAAGGAAUGAAAGAAGAAUUUAUAUCACGAUAGCUGUAAACAUUUCCUUGUUCCCAUUAAAAAACAUCCCCUUUUUUCUUGUUGUUCUUUGACAUGACGUCUAUUCUCCACGGGUACUACUUCUUCUACC
RNAcentral lists this long non-coding RNA (213 nucleotides) under Setaria viridis. RNAcentral's name for it is "long non-coding RNA (SVIR_LNC002231)". The record is from RNAcentral. Lineage: Eukaryota; Viridiplantae; Streptophyta; Magnoliopsida; Poales; Poaceae.